GUAACACUAACUGGAGGACCGAACCGACUAAUGUUGAAAAAUUAGCGGAUGACCUGUGGCUGGGGGUGAAAGGCCAAUCAAACCGGGAGAUAGCUGGUUCUCCCCGAAAGCUAUUUAGGUAGCGCCUCGUGAAUUCAUCUCCGGGGGUAGAGCACUGUUUCGGCUAGGGGGCCAUCCCGGCUUACCAACCCGAUGCAAACUGCGAAUACCGGAGAAUGUUAUCACGGGAGACACACGGCGGGUGCUAACGUCCGUCGUGAAGAGGGAAACAACCCAGACCGCCAGCUAAGGUCCCAAAGUCAUGGUUAAGUGGGAAACGAUGUGGGAAGGCCCAGACAGCCAGGAUGUUGGCUUAGAAGCAGCCAUCAUUUAAAGAAAGCGUAAUAGCUCACUGGUCGAGUCGGCCUGCGCGGAAGAUGUAACGGGGCUAAACCAUGCACCGAAGCUGCGGCAGCGACACUGUGUGUUGUUGGG
Molecule: ribosomal RNA, 474 nt
Filed under: Salmonella enterica subsp. enterica serovar Agona
Lineage: Bacteria; Pseudomonadati; Pseudomonadota; Gammaproteobacteria; Enterobacterales; Enterobacteriaceae
Description: partial 23S ribosomal RNA
Rfam family: Bacterial large subunit ribosomal RNA
Source: RNAcentral